This is a long non-coding RNA of Diospyros lotus (date-plum), 3863 nucleotides long. RefSeq lists it as uncharacterized. The record is from RefSeq and is a predicted model, not a curated record. NCBI's taxonomy places the organism in Eukaryota, Viridiplantae, Streptophyta, Magnoliopsida, Ericales, Ebenaceae. The transcript is spliced from 3 exons.
CAAGGAGUUGCAGCCCAACAGUUGGAAUAUAGAAAUAUAUUGAAGUUUCCAAUAUUGGAUACACUAUAAUUUUUUGUUGCAAGUUGGGAAAUAAAUUGUUCUUAAAACGCACAUGUGAAAUGAUUGACUUCUUUCUUUCUUUUUUGCUAAGCUAUAGGCUUCUUUACACGUCAAAUAAAUAACAUGAAUGCUCUCUCUCUCCCCCCUUCCUUUUGUGGGCGAUAAUUGCAAAUCGGAUACCCUUUUUGCUUUCAUCUUUUGAUCUAUCCUGUAGAAUUUGAUUUUCGGUCUGGUCUCAAGGGUUUUUUUUUGGUUUGUUUCCUUACUUUUUGUAUUUUCAAAUCCUUGGUUGUUGGCUGACAUCUUGAUUUGGUUUUGGAUCUCUUUUGAGAUAUGUAUUUAGCUGCUAUGGACACUCGCAGGAGAGGUAGGCUCAGGCGUCAUCAAUGCUAAUUGCAGCUUGAAGACGUCCAAGCAAGAAAUGGACUGCUUGUCAACUAGUAUAGGAAGCAAAUCGAAGCGAUGCAAGGAGCAGAAAAUACAUAUAUAUAGUUGCAGUUUGUACCAAAAAACACAUUGAUUUGAUUGAGAACGUGAGCUCCAAAAAGUUUGAUUCAGGACAAGAGAGAAUUGUUGCAAAAUUUAAUUCUAUAUAUUUCAACAAAGGCUCUUCAGAAGUAGCAUAUCUUGUUGUUGGCUCCCUGUUAGAGAACUGUUGGAAUUCAUCGUUAUGUUAUUCUCUUCUUCAAACAGCAAUGCUAAUGUGGAUUGUUGAAGGGACCCUCAUUGUUGGAUAACUUAAGCACCUAAGCAUUUGCAAGCGCUCACAACCUGAGAGAAGUUGUAGCUACAGUUUAUUUUAACACAUGGAAGGAAGCAACAAUGUGUAAGCACUCAGAGCAGGGAACUAGUAGUAUAUAGGAGUGUGUUUCUGCCCAAAAAGGUAAAUACAAACUUUCUUUUUGUACUUUGCUGUGAUAAUCGAUUUGAUUUCAAUGCAGUGAAAAUUAAGUUGAAGUUGGUUGUUUUAUUUGGAAAUUAGCACUUUCUGAUUAUUACCUUACCUAAUGAAUUUACUAAUCUAACACAAAAAAAAAAAAAAAGAAUUUACUAAACAGAGCUCUAAAUACUAAUAGGAGGAACUGCAAUUGUUGGGUGGGAAAUUUGCAGCAAUAUAUUGAUUAGGAUGACAAGUUGCUUGUGGACAAAGCUCUAAAUGUUAUGAUAGUUGAUUUAAUGGAACACUGCAAUGAAACUUAUAUUGAGGUUAGUUGUUUAAUUAGCUUUGAUUUUACUUUCAAGCUUUUGGUAAUUGAAAUUAGCAGAUAAUCAUUAGUCUUGACUGAUGAAUUUACUAAACAAAGCUCUAAAUACUAAUAGAAGGAAUUGUAAUUGUUGGGUUGGAAAUUUGAUAUAAGAUUGCAAAUAAGGUAACCUGUUACUUGUUGCCUCUUGUCUGUCUAUAUUUUUAGAUGCACCAUUAUUUCUUUCCUUGUAGUAUGCUACAUAAAGCAGAAAGGAAUAGUCCUACAAACACAGACCCUGAUACUACCACUACACACCAAAAAUAUAAAAUGAUUUUAAUUUUAUCUUUCAAGUAUUUUAGUUUUAAGCCUGUGAAGUUGUUCUUCAAGUUAAUUGUCAUAGUUGCUUUGAUUUUACUUAUGCUAUUUGUUAUUGACAUUAACACUUAACUUUGCCAUGACCCUUGACCUACUAAUACAAUGUAAUUACAGGAGAAAUUGCAAUUAAUGGUUGAUGUAAUUUGCAAUAACUUGUGGAUUGGAUAACAAGUGCUUCAUGCUGCUCAGCAUGAUGGACUUUUAUUUCAGUGGAAAGAGAAGAAACAAGCUGAGAGAGGGUACUAAUGGUGUUAGAAUCACUACUUGUGCACAGGUUUGAUGUUUUCAGCUAGAGAUUUUGUGCAACCCUUUGCUUUGAAUGAUAAAGAAGGAAAGUUGAGGGUAAAAGACUUUUUGGUCACUUAUGAUGCCGAGGAUAUUUUGUUGGCAGAAUUAAAUGUACUUGGCUUAACAAUUUUGAAUGUGCAGUGCAACAUGUUGUGAAUAUAAUUUUGAAAUUUGGAUUCUUAUUAUCGGAGGGGGUAUGACACCACUAGAGUAGUAGGUUAAAGGCCUUUGUCCCUAUGGUUGACCUAAGCAAGGUUGGAUAAUAACCAAACAAAUGUCAGAUCUUUAUUGUUGUCCACGGUGACUUUCUAAGUUAGGCACAAACAUGAAAGUAUUGAAGCUUGAAACGACAAGUUCCUCAUCUCUGUUUCUCAUAGUUGGCAAAAGUCAUUAAGCUCUGUUUUAGUUUUCUUAUUUAUUCUUUUAGGUCCUUUGUUGUCGGCAACAUGUACUAUCACAUUUCCUUUUGUAAUAUAAUGAUUUGCAUUUCAGUUAUCCUUGUCAUCUUACUUUUAUUUAUUAAUCCGAAAACAGUUGUUUUAUUGUUUUACCUUUUUUGUUCUAUUAUAUUUUGUUUUCAAAAGAUUUGCUUUACAUGGAACAAAAUGGGAAAUUAGGAGUAAGAAAUGUUAAAAUAUAUUGAAGUGGCAAUUUUGCCCGAGCUACAACUUCUGUGAUUAGCAGGAAAAUAAAUUGUUCCUAAAUUCAUCUUACGAAAUGAUAGGCUUCUUUCUUUCAUUUUCUUUUUGUCUUUUUUGCUGAACUACAGGAAUUUUUUUGGUCGAAUAAAUAUGAUUCAUUCUAUUAUGUCAUGAAAAAGGUUAUAUUACAAUGGUGUGAGAAAAUGCCUUUUGUCACUCUUUUCCUUUCACGACAAAUGCUUUAUGUUGUGUAUCUUAGAAUGGGAAAGCAAUAAUGGAUGUGACAUGGUAGUUGAUAUUUGUGGUUUGUACUCAUAGCUUUGUUUAACCCAUUUGUUGCUUACGUAUUUGUCAGCCAUGUUGUGAAGAGGGUUGCUCUCAUCAUUACUUUGAUUCAUGCUAUUAUGUCAUGAAAAAGGUUAUAUUACAUGAUUGCGUAUUCGUAAUCAAUGGUUCUAAUAUCAAGCCUUGUGUAGCUGCAAAUCCUCUUGGCGUUACAAUCAGCGGUCACCAUCCUGAAACUUUUCACCUUGGCUUGCUUGCACUUCUUUUUUUUUUUCUGUUGAGUAUUCUUACACUUCUUUUAUUGUCAUGAUUUUACCUUUCUUUUCUCUAUUAUUUGUUUUAGAUUCUUACAAUGCGGUCUCUGCCUCUUGUAGGAUCAAUGAAUGUUGUUUUUUACAAAUUUAUUGACUUAUUUAGACAUUAAUGAAGCUUGAUGUAUCAAAUCCAAGUGAAGCUUUAAUGCAUGAGUGGAUUCGUUGGUCAAUGUUUCCUCUCUUUAUUUUGGUUGCAUUAUCUACUAUUUUUCUUCUUUCAUGCUAUAAUGGAAAACAUCUCCUUUUGUUUUCAGCCAUCAGGAUUGCCAUCAACAUUCCAAGUGAUCAAGAUCCCAUAUAGGUUGCACGAAACAUUGCCCUCACGUAAAGCGGCAAGACCCGUGUUCGAUCCUUGGCUGUGGGGACUCCCUGAUUUACCUUCUCUACCAUUCCCUUGGAGCUGGGUGGUAUGGGGCGUUCGCGAGGGGACAUCAUCCCAAGAUCCCAUAUAGGGAAAGGAGUUGUUGUAUAUGCCUAGCAGUUGGUUACUUCACUUUUCUGUUCAAACAUCAGUCAAUGGGGAUGUGAUUUUGCUAUCUAAUCUGUGUUGUUUUUAGUCUUAAUUAGCCACCGCUUAUUAUUGUUGUGAGUGUUGUUUGGUCCAAGGUUGCUUUGUCAUGGCUGCUGGCUGUUGUGUUGUAAUGCUUCUAUCUUGUCCUAAUACAAGUGUUUUUCUUUGGCAGUGCUCUCAUGCCUCUCUACAUUUAAGUAAA